RNAcentral lists this ribosomal RNA (253 nucleotides) under uncultured bacterium. Its description in RNAcentral is "partial 16S ribosomal RNA". It matches the Rfam family "Bacterial small subunit ribosomal RNA", at positions 524 to 776 of the family's 1533-position model. The record is from RNAcentral.
UACGUAGGGCGCAAGCGUUGUCCGGAAUUAUUGGGCGUAAAGAGCUCGUAGGCGGCUUGUCACGUCGGGUGUGAAAGCCCGGGGCUUAACCCCGGGUCUGCAGUGGAUACGGGCAGACUAGAGGUAGGUAGGGGAGAAUGGAGUUCCCGGUGUAGCGGUGAAAUGCGCAGAUAUCGGGAGGAACACCGGUGGCGAAGGCGGUUCUCUGGGCCUUACCUGACGCUGAGGAGCGAAAGCGUGGGGAGCGAACAGG